Molecule: ribosomal RNA, 159 nt
Filed under: Caloplaca stillicidiorum
Lineage: Eukaryota; Fungi; Ascomycota; Lecanoromycetes; Teloschistales; Teloschistaceae
Description: 5.8S ribosomal RNA
Rfam family: 5.8S ribosomal RNA
About the family: 5.8S ribosomal RNA (5.8S rRNA) is a component of the large subunit of the eukaryotic ribosome.
Source: RNAcentral
AAAACUUUCAACAACGGAUCUCUUGGUUCUGGCAUCGAUGAGAAACGCAGCGAAAUGCGAUAAGUAAUGUGAAUUGCAGAAUUCAGUGAAUCAUCGAAUCUUUGAACGCACAUUGCGCCCUUUGGUAUUCCGAAGGGCAUGCCUGUUCGAGCGUCAUUA